GCCUAGCCCCGAUAGCAGUGGAAAUCCUUUUGCUUGAUGCUAAGAAAGCAAAAGAUUGCAACGAAUAGCGGGUAAAAGC
Molecule: small RNA, 79 nt
Filed under: Flavobacterium caeni
Lineage: Bacteria; Pseudomonadati; Bacteroidota; Flavobacteriia; Flavobacteriales; Flavobacteriaceae
Description: Flavo-1 RNA
Rfam family: Flavo-1 RNA
Source: Rfam by way of RNAcentral